RNAcentral lists this ribosomal RNA (406 nucleotides) under uncultured bacterium. RNAcentral describes it as "partial 16S ribosomal RNA". It matches the Rfam family "Bacterial small subunit ribosomal RNA", at positions 30 to 526 of the family's 1533-position model. The record is from RNAcentral.
AUUGAACGCUGGCGGCAGGCCUAACACAUGCAAGUCGAACGAGUGGCGGACGGGUGAGUAAUGUCUGGGGAACUGCCCGAUAGAGGGGGAUAACUACUGGAAACGGUAGCUAAUACCGCAUACCAUCGGAUGUGCCCAUAUGGGAUUAGCUAGUAGGUGAGGUAAUGGCUCACCUAGGCGACGAUCCCUAGCUGGUCUGAGAGGAUGAUCAGUCACACUGGAACUGAGACACGGUCCAGACUCCUACGGGAGGCAGCAGUGGGGAAUAUUGGACAAGGGGCGAAAGCCUGAUCCAGCCAUGCCGCGUGUGUGAAGAAGGUCCUCGGAUUGUAAAGCACUUUAAGUUGGGAGGCGUUACCAACAGAAUAAGCACCGGCUAACUCCGUGCCAGCAGCCGCGGUAAUUC